This 260-nucleotide ribosomal RNA is filed under the name uncultured bacterium. RNAcentral describes it as "partial 16S ribosomal RNA". It matches the Rfam family "Bacterial small subunit ribosomal RNA", at positions 524 to 779 of the family's 1533-position model. The record is from RNAcentral.
UACAGAGGGUGCGAGCGUUAAUCGGAAUUACUGGGCGUAAAGCGUGCGUAGACGGUUAUUUAAGUCGGGUGUGAAAGCCCCGGGCUCAACCUGGGAAUUGCAUUCGAGACUGAAUAGCUAGGGUACGGUAGAGGGAAGCGGAAUUUCCGGUGUAGCGGUAGAAAUGCGUAGAUAUCGGAAGGAACAUCAGUGGCGAAGGCGGAGCUACCUGGACCGGUUCUGACGCUGAUGCGCGAAAGCGUGGGGAAGCAAACAGGGAU